UACGGAGGAUGCGAGCGUUAUCCGGAUUCACUGGGUUUAAAGGGUGAGUAGGCGGACCGAUAAGUCAGUGGUGAAAGACUGUAGCUUAAAUAUAGAAAUGCCAUUGAUACUGUUGGCCUUGAGUGAAGUUGAGGCAGGCGGAAUGUGCAGUGUAGCGGUGAAAUGCUUAGAUAUUGCACAGAACACCGAUUGCGGAGGCAGCUUGCUAAACUUCUACUGACGCUGAGUCACGAAAGCGGUGGGAUCAAACAGGAUUAGAUACCCUGGUAGUCCACGCUGUAAACGAUGAUCACUCGUUGUUGGCGAUACACAGCCAGCGGCUGAGCUAAAGCAUUAAGUGAUCCACCUGGGGAGUACGACGGCAACGUUGAA
RNAcentral lists this ribosomal RNA (372 nucleotides) under uncultured bacterium. RNAcentral describes it as "bacterial SSU rRNA". It matches the Rfam family "Bacterial small subunit ribosomal RNA", at positions 524 to 898 of the family's 1533-position model. The record is from RNAcentral.